Molecule: ribosomal RNA, 484 nt
Filed under: uncultured bacterium
Lineage: Bacteria
Description: partial 16S ribosomal RNA
Rfam family: Bacterial small subunit ribosomal RNA
Source: RNAcentral
GAUUAACGCUAGCGGCAGGCAUAAUACAUGCAAGUUGAACGGCAGCACAGGUAGCAAUACUGGGUGGCGAGUGACGCACGGGUGCGUAACACGUAUGCAACCUACCCUAUACAGGCGAAUAACCUUUAGAAAUGAGGGCUAAUACGCCGUAGUAUUACAGAUGGGCAUCUAUUUGUAAUUAAAGAUUUAUCGGUAUAGGAUGGGCAUGCGUCCCAUUAGUUAGUUGGUAAGGUAACGGCUUACCAAGACGAUGAUGGGUAGGGGAUCUGAGAGGACUUACCCCCACACUGGUACUGAGACACGGACCAGACUCCUACGGGAGGCAGCAGUAAGGAAUAUUGGGCAAUGGCCGCGAGGCUGACCCAGCCAUGCCGCGUGCAGGAAGACGGCCUUAUGGGUUGUAAACUGCUUUUAUACGGGAAUAAUAGAGUGUACGCGUACAUUUAUGCAAGUAUCGUAUGAAUAAGCAUCGGCUAACUCCGUG